Artibeus jamaicensis (Jamaican fruit-eating bat) is the source of this 104-nucleotide small nuclear RNA. The record is from RefSeq and is a predicted model, not a curated record. NCBI's taxonomy places the organism in Eukaryota, Metazoa, Chordata, Mammalia, Chiroptera, Phyllostomidae.
GUUCGCUUUGGCAGCACAUGUACUAAAAUAGGAAUGAUACAGAGAAGAUCAGCAUGGCCCCUGUGCAAGGAGGACAUGCAAAAAAUUAAGCAUGAGAAAUUUUA